AAUUUUUUUAGAUGAUACAUAAGAUGAUUUAGCCAGCAUGCGUGCAGAUACUCGAUAUAGCUUGACAGUGACAACAUACACAUCAAGCUGUACUUUGUUCAAACUAGAUCUACGUACCGGAAAAAGAACAACAAAACCAAGCUUUGCAAGCUAGGACAAACCUCAACAUGUGAUGGAAAGCUUUAGUGUUAUAGAUAUGCAUCAACUUCAGCAAUCAAGAUACAAUUUCUGCAAUUACACUUUCUUGAUGAUUUGGACGACGUCUUCAUCUUCUAGUUCAUGUUCCUUGCCCACCCUCUGAGGCUUGUGUUUUGCACUUGAACCCCAAACCAGGGCAUAUUUGAAUUGUUUAACCAUAUCCUUGUGGAUUCUGUCACAGAAGUCCUCCACUGUCCUCCUCUUUGAUGAUAGAAUAACUGGAUCCUCAUAGUCUGGAUUCAUUCCCUUCGGCUUUGUGUAUAUGCGGGUUAGACUAAGAUAUUCCCAAAUCUUCUCCAGCAGGCCAUCAAGAUUCCAUUCCAAAUGAGCACUGAUUGGACAAUAGUGCGGAAGUUUAUCCAGAAUCUCCAGCUCUUCCAUUGUGAUUUGAUCAAUUUUGUUCACAACAUAGAUGCAAG
Molecule: unclassified non-coding RNA, 617 nt
Filed under: Hevea brasiliensis (rubber tree)
Lineage: Eukaryota; Viridiplantae; Streptophyta; Magnoliopsida; Malpighiales; Euphorbiaceae
Source: RNAcentral